AUGCACAAGGAGGGCAAGCUCGACAUGGACGCCGUCAAAUACGUCAUCUUCGACCUAUUCAGUGCCGGCAGCGAGACAACUACGCUAGAGUGGGCAUUCGCAGAGCUGAUGAGGAAUCCAAAGGCGAUGCACAGGGCAACCGCCGAGGUUCGGCGAGCAUUCAGGGCCCACGGCUCUGUAGCGGAGCACCGCCUCGGCGAGCUCCCGUACAUGCACCUAGUCAUUCGGGAGGCUCUGCGGCUGCACAUGCCCACGCCGUUGCUCCUCCCCCGGGAGUGCCGGGAGCCAUGUCAGGUGCUCGGGUAUGACGUGCCGCAGGGCACACAGGUGCUAGUCAACGUCUGGGCACUGGGCCGUGACAGACGGUACUGGCCUGACGGGCCGGAGGAGUUUCGGCCGGAGCGGUUCGAGGAUGAGGAUGCUGUGGACUUUAAGGGUAACGACUUCUCUUUUCUGCCAUUCGGCGCAGGCCGGAGGAUGUGCCCCGGGAUGGCAUUCGGCCUCGCCAAUAUCGAGCUCGCACUCGCGAGCUUGCUGUUCCACUUCGACUGGGAGGGUCCAAGUCCAGACGAAUUGGACAUGGCCGAGGCGUUUGGCGUUACGGCGCGGCGGAAGGCCGGCCUCCUCCUGCACCCUGUUCUCUGUGUGCCCGUUCCCUUCCCGGAGUCUACUCCACCGGCAGGCAACGGAGAUCGUUUUUUUUUCGGGGGACAACGGAGAUCGUUAGGGUCCUAG
Molecule: ribosomal RNA, 735 nt
Filed under: Triticum aestivum (bread wheat)
Lineage: Eukaryota; Viridiplantae; Streptophyta; Magnoliopsida; Poales; Poaceae
Description: partial small subunit ribosomal RNA
Source: RNAcentral